This 253-nucleotide ribosomal RNA is filed under the name uncultured bacterium. RNAcentral's name for it is "partial 16S ribosomal RNA". It matches the Rfam family "Bacterial small subunit ribosomal RNA", at positions 524 to 776 of the family's 1533-position model. The record is from RNAcentral.
UACGUAGGGAGCAAGCGUUGUCCGGAAUCACUGGGCGUAAAGCGCACGUAGGCGGAUGUGUCAGUCAGGGGUGAAAUCCCGGGGCUCAACCUCGGAACUGCCUUUGAUACAGCACGUCUCGAGUCCGGAAGAGGUGGGUGGAAUUCCUAGUGUAGAGGUGAAAUUCGUAGAUAUUAGGAAGAACACCGGUGGCGAAGGCGGCCCACUGGUCCGGUACUGACGCUGAGGUGCGAAAGCGUGGGGAGCAAACAGG